AGAGUUUGAUCAUGGCUCAGGAUGAACGCUGGCUGUGUGCCUAAUACAUGCAUGUUGAACGAAGCUAAAAGUGCUUGCACUUUAAGACUUAGUAGCGAAUGGGUGAGUAACACGUACUUAACCUACCCCCAAGUUUGGGAUAACGUUUGGAAACGAACGCUAAUACCGAAUACGUAUUUUUAUCGCAUGAUAGAAAUAUAAAAGGAGCUUCGGCUUCGCUAAGGGAUGGGAGUGCGCUACAUUAGUUAGUUGGUAGGGUAAUGGCCUACCAAGACUAUGAUGUAUAGCGGGGCCGAGAGGCUGAUCCGCCACACUGGGACUGAGAUACGGCCCAGACUCCUACGGGAGGCAGCAGUAGGGAAUUUUCCACAAUGAACGAAAGUUUGAUGGAGCGACACAGCGUGCAGGAUGAAGGUCUUCGGAUCGUAAACUGCUGUUAUAAGGGAAGAAAAACUUUAGUAGGUAAUGACUAGAACUUGACGGUACCUUAUCAGAAAGCGACGGCUAACUAUGUGCCAGCAGCCGCGGUAAU
RNAcentral lists this ribosomal RNA (532 nucleotides) under uncultured bacterium. RNAcentral describes it as "bacterial SSU rRNA". It matches the Rfam family "Bacterial small subunit ribosomal RNA", at positions 8 to 524 of the family's 1533-position model. The record is from RNAcentral.